CCAGCUGUCAGUCUGGAGUCUGUGAGCUCCCACUAGCUCAGAUCAGCUGUUUCUGAGGCAUGGUCUUGACCCCUUUGCUUAUCACUCCUCCCUCUUUACAACUGGACUCCAGGUGUUCAGCCUAGUGCUUAGCUGUGAAUCUCUGCUUCUGCUUUCAUCAAUUACUGGAUGAAGGCUUUAUGAUGACAAAUAAGGUAGUCAUCAAUCUGAUUAUAGGAGGAAGGGCAUUUAAGGUAGCCUAUCCACUAUUGCUGAGAUUCUUAGGUGGGGUCAUCCUUGUGGAUUCCCUGGAAUUUUCCUAGUGUUAGGUUUCUCCUUAACCCCAUAAUGGCUUCCUCUAUUGGGCUGGAGGGAUGGCUGAGACAUUAAAGGAUAGGCUCACAACCAAAAAUAUAAGAGGGAAGCAUGCUCCAUGAUGGGAGCAUAGACCAAGACAGUAAGCACAGCUCUCAGUCCUGGUGGUAAACGUACCCCAUCCAUUUUGGAAAGACAGUGACUAAAAUAUAGGUUGCUUUAAUUUUUCUUUUGACAGGGAUUCUCUGUGUAGCUUUGGAGCCUAUCCUGGCACUUGCUCUGGAGACUAGACAGGCCUCGAAUUCACAGAGAUCCACCUGCCUCUCCCUCCCGAGUGCUGGGAUUAAAGGUGUGUACCACCAACACCCGUCUGCCACUUUAAUUUUAGCAAUGUUGUUUAGCAGAUAAAAGACCAUGUGGCCAGAACAACGUAGAUUUACAGUAAAGACAGAUUCAGAUGAAGAAAAACCCCAGAAGGUUUACAAUGUUUUAAAAAAUAUACAUAGUAUUAUAAGAGAAAAAUAAACAGGAUAAAUAAUUGAAAGAAAUAAAGAGGCAGUGUGGUGAUGCUGCACGCCUUUAUUCUCAGCACUCCAGAGCAGAGUCAGCUGAAUUUUUACAGAAAAACCCUGUCUCAGGAAAAAAGAAAAAGAAAGAAGGAAUUAAAAGAAAUAAAAUAUUAAAAAGCCAGGUAAAUGGAAAAUACUCAUAGAGUCUGAAUACUAUAUGUUAUACUGUUGUCUUAAAUUGUUUCAUUGCUAAAGAAAGAACUACAGCUGCUAAAAGAUAUUGAUUAUAAGUGCUGCUAAAUUAAUCCAACUUAUACAUUUUUAAAAUGCUUUGACUUCAAAAUUUAAAUCUGGGCUGGAGACAUGGCUUAGUGGUUAAAAGCAUUGACUGCUCUUCCAGAGGACCCAGGUUCAAUUCCCAGCAUCCACAUGGAAGCUCACAACUGUAAUUCCAGUUCCAGGGGAUUUGACACCUCCACACCAAUGAAUAUAAAAUAAAGUUAAAUUUAAAAAAAAUUAUGUCUCAGGACUGGCUACUUGGGAAAGAAUUUCUGCUUUUGUUUCCACAGAAAAUAUAAAGCUAUGGAUGCCUUCCAGAGUAAUAUGGUUUGAUGAAGUAUGACCCCCCGAAACAGUGACCCAGGUGAUCCAACAUCUAAAACAGAAGAGUUGGUACAGCCUUAGAGACUACAAAAAAAGGACCUGGCCCUGUUUCUGUGUUUUAUCAUGAUCCCCAUGGUAUGGACAUCACCCCAAACCAGCAGGAAGCAGUUUGGAAUCAACAACGCCCAAAUUUCCCAAUGUUGUUUAUAAAUGUUUGUUUUCAUUUAAAUGGGGUUAGUUAUAAAUGGUAAUGAUCACAUUCAAUCUAUUCUUAAAGGAAAAAAGGGGAAUAGGAUAUAGAAAUGAAUGCUUUACCUUUGUAUGUAUUUUCAUUUAUUGAUACACAUUUAAGGUUAAUUUUGCUAUAUGUAAAUAUCUCUUGUUCGGUAUUGUGUUUAUACAGAUCUUUUAAAAUGUAAUGCAUAGUUAAAUACAGAUUGUAUAUAGUCAGGUAUAAUAGUCAAAACUUAUAGUUAGGUUACUUAGGUUGUCUAGAUAUACAAAGACAUAUUUGAGAUGUAUAGGUAUUCUUCAAACCUUUCAAAGACCCACAGAAUAAUGGUAUUUUAAAUGGUUUAGGAUUUUAAUGACAGUGAAACACAACUGUUCUUGGCACAUCAAUUACAUCAGAAAGGAGGAUGAGCAUUGAAGAAUUUUUUUAUGGAGUUUGCCUUCAACAUGGCAAGAUAAACCAUUUGGUCAAGAAACUACUCUUGCCUGGACUGUUUGAUAAACUGGACAUGUAGGACACUCAGGAAAGUGCCUACUGAACUUGCAAAAUAAGAGAGUUGUGAAGGGUUCCUACAUCAUGGAGAAGUAUGCCAGACACAUUGUGGCCUAUAGGCUGAAGAUGGAUGCCCCCACCUUACAGAGGAACUUUGGGUGACUCUCCAAGUAUCGGGAUGUCUCUGUCAGAUCCAGAGUUGAUAGGUUAUCCUUCUGUGGUCUUAAUGGAGUUGAAGACAGAUAGUUAUGUUUAUAGUUUUCUUUAGUUAUUAUAAAAGAUAAGCUACAUAUAAGACUUUGCCCUGGUGUGUGUGGGGGACUUUGAGAGCCAUCCCACUUGAAGGGAUGCGCUCUGUCUCUGGACACAUGGGGAGGGGCCUAGGCCCAGCAUAGAACGAUUUGGUGGACUUUGUGGAGCCCCGGUUGGGGGCCCCACCCUGCCUGGGGAGUGGUGGGUGGAUGCGAUGGGGGGUUGGUUGGAGGUGGGGGAGAACCAAUGGAGGUGAGGGGAGGGAGAAGGAGAGGGGACUUAUAUGUGAAACAAGCCUGUUCCCUAACUUAAAUUAAUAAUAAUAAUAAUAAUAAUAAGAAGAAGAAGAAGAAGAAGAAGAAGAAGAAGAAAAAGAAGAAGAAGAAGAAAGAAAGAAAAAAAGGUCUGUGUGUGUGUGUGUGUGUGUGUGUAUGUGUGUAAUUAAGUUGAAAAACACAGGAAGCAUGUAAAAAGGGUCCAAGAUAUCCGGGACGUUCUACUUAAUUAGAAAAAGACAAGAGGAACUAACUGUAAAGAUAACUCUUACCACCAGCUGCCUUGGUUCUGCCAUAAUUUUAGGUCCCCAAAAUAACACACACAGUCUUAUAUUAAUUACAAUGCCGCUGGCCAAUGACUAAGAUUUCUAACUUGCUUGCUCUGUCUUAAUUAUCAACCAUAACUAUUAAUCUAUUCAUCUUAUAAAGAAUCAUAUAGGACACCAGCGGCAUGCAUACUCUGCUCCCAGAUUUACAUGGCAAAACCUUUCUUUACUAAUUUCCCAGAAUCCUCCUCUCCUAGUCUCUCCUAACUUGUUUGUCUAUUGGCCAACCGAGCUUUAUUUAUUAACCAAUAAGUCAAACAUACAAAGAAGGACUUCCCCCAUAAUGCCCUCAUUCCGGACUCACAGGUCUCCUAGCCACGCCCAUCCGACCUUACCACUUCAUGGCCUUACUGCCUCCAAAAGACCCUCAAGGCUGCCAGACUCCUUACAGGUGCCCCCUGUAACCUGUGAGUCACUCUAAGUCUUUCUGUCUCCUCUAGUAAGAGGCAGCUGUCCAGUGGAGUAGUCCAUUCUAGGGGUGCUUGCCAUGUAUUUUACCUCUUCACACAGUGCGAAGAAGAAAGGGAUGGAACUCCUUCUCCUUGCACUUUUUUUUGAUGUUAAUAUAAGGUGAGCAAGGCUUCUGAAAUGAGCAACAUUAAGUCAAGAGUUUUGCCUGGGUAGGCUUGCAAGUCAUAGCACCCCUGCCACAUCAACUGGUAGGCAGCUUCUCCCUUGUCUUUCAACAAGCCUAGGUGUUCCCUCCCACAGAUGCAUAUGCAUAUGCAAACAGUCAGGCCAGGAAUUACAGUUCCUUUCUCCUCCUCCUUAUAUUCCUCUCUCCACCUAGCCAUGUCCUCUUGUCUCCACCUCCCAAGUGCUGGGAUUAAAGGCUUGAACUCUGUUAGUCAUUUAGACUAAUUCAAUUUUGUAUAGUGUUGGUUGGCCUGAUAUCAGAGAGAUCCAUCAACCUUUGUUUACUGAGUCCUGUGAUUAAAGGUGUGUUCCAACACUGCCUGACCAAGAAUGUGGCUGCUUUGCUAUUUUGAUCACCAGUGCCUUUAAUAAAUGAUAAAACAUAUAACACCACAGGUCUUGACAAACAAUAAUACUAUGGAUUUAUUAAUAUAAUUAAUUUGAGAAUUGUUUUUUAUUAUUUUUCAUUGGCAAUUGUUUUCAACCCACUGAGUUUAGACAGGCCCAUCUAGGCAACCACAGAUUUAGAACUGUCCUUUGGAACCUGAUGGGAUUAAUAAUGAGAUCACACAAGACUUAAGACAAACCUAGUAAUAGCCAGUAGUUUCACAGUAAGAAGUAGUGUCUCAUGGUCCCUCCCACAAACCACAAACUAAUUGUUGACAAGGCCUGUUGUGAUAUACUGUUUAUGAUUUCUUAAGACCACUGGAGAUCAAAAUAACAAAACAGCCAUACUCUUUGGCCAUAGAAAUGAGGCAGUGUUGGCACACACCUUUAAUCACAGGACUCAGUAAACUAAGGCAGAUGGAUCUCUCUGAUUUAAGCCCACCCAGGGCUAUACAAAAUUGAAUUAGUCUAAAGUAGGAAGAGAGUUCUUGCCUUUAAUCCCAGGGUUGGGACCACACACCCUUAAUCCCAGCACUAGGGAGGGGGAGAUAGGAGGAUAAGGAGAGGAAUAUAAGGAGGAGGGGACAGGAACUGAGAGCCUUUGCCUCUGAGGAUUCCUGGAGACAGGAUUGCCAUUUCAGCAGGAUAGAGGUAAGAUCUAUUUGUGAAAGACCCCCAGAUCCCUAAGGUCCUCAGGAUCCCAAGGAGCCCCAGAGACUCAGAAACCAGACCAAGAGCAGCAAAAGCAAGAGGGUUUAUUGAACAAAUGAGCAUUCGGGUGUCAGCAAUAUCAGUAAAGCUGAACACCCCAGCCAGGGGUGGAAGCUCCUUGUAUAGGAAAAAAUUGCAGAUCAGCAUACAGACAAGGGGCACAAAGUGAUUGAUUACAAAGUACUAUCUCAUGUUAGAGUGUUCACACAGGUGUGAUCUAAUUUUCUACAAAGGAAAAACCACAGAACAUACCCUGGAAAGUCCUUGAUUGUCUGUUGGCCAGCCAGGUGUGACCCAAAGAGGGUUGUCUUGGUGAUUUCCCCCGAAUAAACCAUAUGAUAUGCCCAGGGUAGGGCCAACUUCCUUGGAAUGGGCCAAGGCCUGUGGGAAACUUUUUCUCUCUGUGAACUAAAAUCUCUCAAAACCUUUUCCCUCAGGAAACUAAAACCUUUCAUUCCCCCACAGUUUUUGUGUGAGCUUUAAAUCCUAAAACAUAUGGUCCUUCUUGUUGUUUAAGAGCCUGAUAUUGCUGGUUAAGAACUAGGGUUUGGGUUAUAGAUAAGUUAUCCCUAAUAACUCCAGAAUGUUUAACAUAGAAACAGCACUCCUCUUUUACGGCAGUAAAGUGUCCACCUUCCUUAAGGAAAAGGAGAUCAAGUCCCCUUCAAAUCUAGAGGGCAACUUCCGCUAGAGAAGCCAAAGACAUUCCUAAUUUAGUGAUGCAUACUUUAAUGGCUUUAAUAUCCUCAUCUGUGGCUGUUUUUUAGCUCAUUAUAGUGGUGGGGUCCCUGAACCAGUGCUGAGGUUCCAGUGCCAACCCCGGUCGUCAUCUCUGCAUCCCCAUCAGGCAGUGAGAGAUAUUGUCCUUUCCCCAUGAAAGGGAAUUCCUUUUGAUUUAGCAUUUUACCAGGGAAAAUGAGUGACAUAUUCUUUUCUAUGCUACAUCCUGCUGACUUUGGGAUGAAGUUAGGGACCCAAGAAAGCUGAAAUGCUAGUCAAAUGCAAAAAAGAGAAUUUAGGCUAUGGGGAAUCCAUCAGGAGCUUCUGGUUGGCAGACUGUGUAGCAGAGAUAGAGGGUGUCCAUAUCAACUGGACUGGGUCACAUCCACAGCAAGUCUAGGGCUCACAGUCUUUAGGAUCAGGCUGUACUAUGCAACUGAUAUUCCUCUGCCAGAAGAGGAAAUCUGUUGAGACAUGUUUACCUUUAUUAAUGUAAAUAUCUGACAUGCAGGUGGUCCUAGGUUACCCUUAUAAAAGAGUUUUGUUUUUAAAACUCCAAAGAAUUUAGACCCAUGGGCUUAGAAGUUAUUUUAAGGCCUUUGUUAAACAUAGGUCAUUGUCUUACUGUACCAUAAGAAAUAAACAGUUUAAUUUUUUUAAUAACAUAUGGAACUUAUGGCUGUGAUGUUAAAUUUUAGCUCUUUUGAUUCAAGCAGAAAUAUUAACAAUACAACAGAAGCAUAAAUAUCUUAUAACCUUUUAAAUUUGAAAAAUUAAAAAUCUUUUAAUGUCUUUUUGUAAGAAUAUCAAAAAUAAAGCAUCCUUGAUGUGUUUAAAAUUAUUAUCAUCUGGGUGACUACUAAAUUAUGUUGUCAGUUCCCAGUGUUACUAGUUUUAACUUUUUGACAGAUUUAACCAUUAAACAGUUUUAAUAUUAUCAUUAAUAAAAAGACAUCUGAAUUCGUGAUAACCCAAAUUUAAUGACUAGAGCUUGGAGAUAAAUUCUGAGCUAUGUACACAAUUGACUGGCUGCUGUUAUAAUUACACAGUUAAAAUAUUUGAACCAUUUUUGUUUUUUGUUUGGCUUUUGGCUUAUAAUAAAAUUGAUGUUUAAACCAGAAAACAUAGAUAGAACCUUUUAACAAGUUUACAGAAUCCAUUUUUAGGGGGGAUAUACAUAAAAC
RNAcentral lists this long non-coding RNA (6621 nucleotides) under Cricetulus griseus (Chinese hamster). Its description in RNAcentral is "lncRNA (ENSCGRG00015031760.1)". The record is from RNAcentral. Lineage: Eukaryota; Metazoa; Chordata; Mammalia; Rodentia; Cricetidae.